GGCCUCGUAGCUCAGCUGGUAGAGCAUGCGCGUACAAAGCGUAGGCGGCGUCCAUGCGUGGGUUCGAAUCCCACCGAAGCUA
This is a non-coding RNA of Echinostoma caproni, 82 nucleotides long. The record is from Rfam. Lineage: Eukaryota; Metazoa; Platyhelminthes; Trematoda; Plagiorchiida; Echinostomatidae.